CCUACGGGUGGCAGCAGUGGGGAAUAUUGGGCAAUGGAGGCAACUCUUACCCAGCAAUGCCGCGUGAAUGAAGAAGGUCUUCGGAUUGUAAAGUUCUUUAAUUGGGGACGAAAAAAAUGACGGUAUCCAAGGAAGAAGCCCCGGCUAACUACGGGCCAGCAGCCGCGGUAAUACGUAGGGGGGAAGCGUUGUUCGGAAUGACUGGGCGUAAAGGGUGUGUGGGUGGUGUAGCAAGAUAGAAGUGAAAUACCUAGAGCGUAACUCAGGUGCUGCUUCUAAAAUUGCUAUAUUUGAGUGCAGUAGAGGAAAGUGGAAUUCCUAGUGUAGCGGUGGAAUGCGUAGAUA
RNAcentral lists this ribosomal RNA (345 nucleotides) under uncultured bacterium. Its description in RNAcentral is "partial 16S ribosomal RNA". It matches the Rfam family "Bacterial small subunit ribosomal RNA", at positions 338 to 696 of the family's 1533-position model. The record is from RNAcentral.